This 517-nucleotide long non-coding RNA is filed under the name Zalophus californianus (California sea lion). RNAcentral describes it as "lncRNA (ENSZCAG00015020811.1)". The record is from RNAcentral. Lineage: Eukaryota; Metazoa; Chordata; Mammalia; Carnivora; Otariidae.
GCCGCCUCGAGGGGGCCCUGCGGCGGGCGCGGCGGCGAGCCAGGAGGACGGCCUGCCCGCGCGCUGCUGCGCUGCUCGGCGCCCGGCCUGCUGCGGCCAUCGCCCCGCCAGACCCGCCGCUCGCCCAGCCAGAAGAAUUAACGAGUUUGCACAGUUUUAAGAACAAAGCCUUUAAGAAACCCAAGGUCUGUGGGGUUUGCAAGCAGAUUAUUGACAGCCAAGGGAUUUCAUGCCGAGCCUGCAGGUACUGCUACCACAAGCCAUGUGAACCUAAGGUGGUGACUCGCCGCGGUGUGCAGGUGUACCUGGGACAGGUAAGUCCUCGCUGUUCCCUGGGGCCCCGGCUUGUCAUGCGGGACUGUCUCUGUCUUGAUGUGGGACCCUCUUUGGGGCUGUCAGGCUCCCUCUGGACCUCAGACAGGACCCACUCCACUCACAGAGCCUCUGCAUGGACCCCGGGCCUCAGGCACUCGCCCUAGCACGCUUUCCCUAGUGACCAGAGCCAUGCCUGCCUUUC